UACGAAGGGGCUAGCGUUGUUCGGAUUUACUGGGCGUAAAGCGCACGUAGGCGGAUUGUUAAGUCAGGGGUGAAAUCCUGGAGCUCAACUCCAGAACUGCCUUUGAUACUGGCAAUCUCGAGUCCGGAAGAGGUGAGUGGAACUCCUAGUGUAGAGGUGGAAAUUCGUAGAUAUUAGGAAGAACACCAGUGGCGAAGGCGGCUCACUGGUCCGGUACUGACGCUGAGGUGCG
This 232-nucleotide ribosomal RNA is filed under the name uncultured bacterium. RNAcentral describes it as "partial 16S ribosomal RNA". It matches the Rfam family "Bacterial small subunit ribosomal RNA", at positions 524 to 755 of the family's 1533-position model. The record is from RNAcentral.